GACGAACGCUGGCGGCGUGCUUAACACAUGCAAGUCGAACGGAAAGGCCCUGCUUUUGUGGGGUGCUCGAGUGGCGAACGGGUGAGUAACACGUGAGUAACCUGCCCUUGACUUUGGGAUAACUUCAGGAAACUGGGGCUAAUACCGGAUAGGAGCUCCUGCUGCAUGGUGGGGGUUGGAAAGUUUCGGCGGUUGGGGAUGGACUCGCGGCUUAUCAGCUUGCUGGUGGGGUAGUGGCUUACCAAGGCUUCGACGGGUAGCCGGCCUGAGAGGGUGACCGGCCACAAUGGGACUGAGAUACGGACCAGACUGCUACGGGGGGCAGCAGUGGGGAAUAUUGCACAAUGGGCGGAAGCCUGAUGCAGCAACGCCGCGUGCGGGAUGACGGCCUUCGGGUUGUAAACCGCUUUCGCCUGUGACGAAGCGUGAGUGACGGUAAUGGGUAAAGAAGCACCGGCUAACUACGUG
RNAcentral lists this ribosomal RNA (468 nucleotides) under uncultured bacterium. Its description in RNAcentral is "partial 16S ribosomal RNA". It matches the Rfam family "Bacterial small subunit ribosomal RNA", at positions 28 to 507 of the family's 1533-position model. The record is from RNAcentral.